This 497-nucleotide ribosomal RNA is filed under the name uncultured bacterium. RNAcentral describes it as "partial 16S ribosomal RNA". It matches the Rfam family "Bacterial small subunit ribosomal RNA", at positions 28 to 507 of the family's 1533-position model. The record is from RNAcentral.
GACGAACGCUGGCGGCGUGCCUAAUACAUGCAAGUUGAGCGAUGAAGAUUGGUGCUUGCACCAAUUUGAAGAGCAGCGAACGGGUGAGUAACGCGUGGGGAAUCUGCCUUUGAGCGGGGGACAACAUUUGGAAACGAAUGCUAAUACCGCAUAACAACUUUAAACAUAAGUUUUAAGUUUGAAAGAUGCAAUUGCAUCACUCAAAGAUGAUCCCGCGUUGUAUUAGCUAGUUGGUGAGGCAAAGGCUCACCAAGGCGAUGAUACAUAGCCGACCUGAGAGGGUGAUCGGCCACAUUGGGACUGAGACACGGCCCAAACUCCUACGGGAGGCAGCAGUAGGGAAUCUUCGGCAAUGGACGAAAGUCUGACCGAGCAACGCCGCGUGAGUGAAGAAGGUUUUCGGAUCGUAAAACUCUGUUGGUAGAGAAGAACGUUGGUGAGAGUGGAAAGCUCAUCAAGUGACGGUAACUACACAGAAAGGGACGGCUAACUGCGUG